GUAAGGGGCGAGCGUUGUUCGGAUUUACUGGGCGUAAAGGGUGUCUAGGCGGCACGUCAAGUCGGAAGUGAAAUCCCACGGCUUACCCGUGGAAUUGCUUUCGAAACUGGCGAGCUUGAGUACGGGAGAGGAGAGCGGAAUUCCCGGUGUAGCGGUGGAAUGCGUAGAUAUCGGGAAGAACACUCGUGGCGAAGGCGGCUCUCUGGACCGCUACUGACGCUGAAGCACGAAAGCCAGGGGAGCGAACGGGAUUAGAUACCCCGGGUAGUCCUGGCCGUAAACGAUGUGCACUUGGUGUAGGAGGUAUCGACCCCCUUCUGUGCCGAAGCUAACCGCAUUAAGUGCACCGCCUGGGGAGUACGGCCGCAAGGCUG
This 374-nucleotide ribosomal RNA is filed under the name uncultured organism. RNAcentral describes it as "partial 16S ribosomal RNA". It matches the Rfam family "Bacterial small subunit ribosomal RNA", at positions 527 to 896 of the family's 1533-position model. The record is from RNAcentral.